GAUGUGUGUUGCACGUCGAUGGUUGAUCGAUAUGUACAUCAAUAAGCUCAACAUGCGCGGAUCAAGAUCAAGGAUUGAUUGAAGAUGGAUCAAGUAGUUGAUCACAAUUGGACCUAGAGGAUCAAGAUCGAGUCAAGAGUUGAAGACGAUCAAACCAAUUGACGUGCAUGUGCUUGUAAAAUGACCCCAUCCUGGAUCCAUGAUUAUCACCAUUUAAUUUUAUUUUUGAUAAAUGCCUGGAUGUUUAAUGCUUAUGAUUAUGCGGGUAGACUUAUAUUUGCAUGAGAUGUGAAUACGCGAUCGAGUGAGACCUAAAUCGAAACCUCCCUAAUCAGUCGAGGGUGAAACAACAUGAGUUAGUCAUAUUAGAUUAAUUGCUCUAAUUGGUGUCUAGGCAAGCCUAUAAGGUGGUUACUUAAUUAGGACCUUACUCUCUGAGUAAGGGGAGCCUCCCACCUGCUUACCUGGCCAAUUGUUCGAUUACCUCUUAUGAAGAACUCAAGUUGCAAACACUAAGACUUGAUUAUGCAAUAUUAAGUCCAUAGGUCUUCUACCGUA
This 558-nucleotide long non-coding RNA is filed under the name Phoenix dactylifera (date palm). RNAcentral's name for it is "long non-coding RNA (PDAC_LNC007942)". The record is from RNAcentral. Lineage: Eukaryota; Viridiplantae; Streptophyta; Magnoliopsida; Arecales; Arecaceae.